CACGUAGGGGGCAAGCGUUGUCCGGAUUUAUUGGGCGUAAAGAGCUCGUAGGUGGUUCGGUAAGUCAGGUGUGAAACCUCCAGGCUCAACCUGGAGACGCCACUUGAUACUGCUGUGACUGGAGUCCGGUAGGGGAGCGUGGAAUUCCUGGUGUAGCGGUGAAAUGCGCAGAUAUCAGGAGGAACACCGGUGGCGAAGGCGGCAUCCUGGACCGAGAUUGACGCUGAGGCGCGAAAGCCAGGGGAGCAAACGGG
RNAcentral lists this ribosomal RNA (254 nucleotides) under uncultured bacterium. RNAcentral's name for it is "partial 16S ribosomal RNA". It matches the Rfam family "Bacterial small subunit ribosomal RNA", at positions 524 to 776 of the family's 1533-position model. The record is from RNAcentral.